RNAcentral lists this ribosomal RNA (355 nucleotides) under uncultured bacterium. Its description in RNAcentral is "bacterial SSU rRNA". It matches the Rfam family "Bacterial small subunit ribosomal RNA", at positions 47 to 398 of the family's 1533-position model. The record is from RNAcentral.
CCUAACACAUGCAAGUCGAACGGUAACAGGAAACAGCUUGCUGUUUCGCUGACGAGUGGCGGACGGGUGAGUAAUGUCUGGGAAACUGCCUGAUGGAGGGGGAUAACUACUGGAAACGGUAGCUAAUACCGCAUAACGUCCCAAGACCAAAGAGGGGGACCCUCGGGCCUCUUGCCAUCGGAUGUGCCCAGAUGGGAUUAGCUUGUUGGUGGGGUAACGGCUCACCAAGGCGACGAUCCCUAGCUGGUCUGAGAGGAUGACCAGCCACACUGGAACUGAGACACGGUCCAGACUCCUACGGGAGGCAGCAGUGGGGAAUAUUGCACAAUGGGCGCAAGCCUGAUGCAGCCAUGCC